CCACAUCCAUUGUUGAUUAGUGAGCUUUCUUCUUUUAACUCAUUUGUCGGCACCUCUCAUUUUGUGUUCUGUAGCAGCUCCGCCAUUGCUGAUUAAGUUGAGAUUCUUCCCUGCUAAGAAACUGAUCAAUCGGGCAUAUUGCAAACACUCAAGCUUUCUCAUUCAUUGAAUCUGGUUUAUUUGAUUAGUGGCGUCAUGGCCAAGCAUGAGGUGGCUCCAUGUGUACUGUGUAUGCUUUCAUGAAGAAAGUGAGACUAUGCAGUACUAAGGCAAGCUACUAGGAAGGGAAAAACAAGAGUGGCUAACCAAGGAGAAUUUCAAAAGAAGAAGGUUGAUAAGAAAGGGAAUAAAAAUGGAGGUGCUGCAAAACUUUGUGGUCAAAUUGACCGUCUUGUUGAAGCUUAUGAAACUAGGAGUUAUGCAAACUUGUUGAUGAGGCCGCUGCAUAUAGGCAGUAGUAUUCCGGAAGUGAUAGCGUAUGUUGCACAAUUGCCCGGUUAUGAGCCACAUUGCGAGUUAUGGUUGUUUGUUACAUGUUUAUUUUGUAGUGCAGAGAAGCGAGAGGUGUUUGCUACUAUGAAAGAUCUUGAAGUCCAGCUGACUUGGUUGAAAUAUAUGUUCAACAAACAACAAUAAGGAGUUAAAACUAUGAAUCAGGACUAUGAACCUCAGAAUCACAGAACAACUCAGAGAAAAAGACCCAGAUAACAAUUCUGCCGGAUUUUGGAGCAAGAAUCGGGUCAAAAACUUCUGAGAUUGCCAGUUUGGUUGUUUGCAGCAAAGUGUCCACAGAGGCACAAGAGUGCUGCUCCCGCUGAAUUGAACAAGAAGUGGAGAUCAAGGUAACAUAUGACACUAAGAUAUCAGGGUCGUUUCUCAGUGUUGCCGCCCCAAUAUCUUGUCUUUACAAAACUUUGUAUUAUUUUCUUAGGGGUUUACUUGAAGGGUUCGAAAUCGAAUGAUACAUUUUGGAAUGUUGGUUUAUUAGUUGUGCUAAUUAUCGAAACGACUUUAAGUAUAUGAUGCUAAAUAAAUCGAUUUCUGCAGCA
Molecule: non-coding RNA, 1049 nt
Organism: Malus domestica (apple)
Lineage: Eukaryota; Viridiplantae; Streptophyta; Magnoliopsida; Rosales; Rosaceae
Source: RefSeq, a predicted model, not a curated record